UGCAAUAGCAACUAUAACACAAGAAAUUCAAAGAUUUGACUUGAACUAUACCCAAAAAAAUGAAAUAAACUAACUGGCAUGGGAUUGCAAAAGAAGUUAAUUUCAUAGAAACCAACAUGCAACCAAACAAGAAUUGAAAAUUAUCCUGAUUUGGUCAAGUUGAAACAAAAAAAUUCAAAAAUUAAUGAAGAAAAUCAGAAACUUCAAUUAAUGCUUCAACACUUACAAAU
RNAcentral lists this long non-coding RNA (230 nucleotides) under Capsicum annuum. RNAcentral's name for it is "long non-coding RNA (CANN_LNC021774)". The record is from RNAcentral. Lineage: Eukaryota; Viridiplantae; Streptophyta; Magnoliopsida; Solanales; Solanaceae.